Ribosomal RNA from Erinaceus europaeus (western European hedgehog), 136 nucleotides. Lineage: Eukaryota; Metazoa; Chordata; Mammalia; Eulipotyphla; Erinaceidae. The record is from Ensembl.
CUCUAUAGGCAUACUACCCUGAACAUUCCCAGUCUCAUCUGAUCUUGAAAGCUAAGCAGCGUCAGGCCUGGUUGUAUUUGGAUGAGAGAAGGAUAAAAUAAUGUUUUCAAAGUCAGUAAGCAGAGAUCCGUAUAGC